Long non-coding RNA from Nematolebias whitei (Rio pearlfish), 317 nucleotides. RefSeq lists it as uncharacterized. The transcript has 3 exons. NCBI's taxonomy places the organism in Eukaryota, Metazoa, Chordata, Actinopteri, Cyprinodontiformes, Rivulidae. The record is from RefSeq and is a predicted model, not a curated record.
GAGUGCUGUUAGUCAGGAGCAGGUGGACAUCAUCCUGCAGGAAAACGAUGCUCUCAGGACGAACCUGGCUGCUCUAGAACAGAUUCAGACGGUGAAGACGCAGGAGAUGAACCUGCUGAGGGAGCAGCAGGAGGUUCUGACAGCCGAGCUGCAGCAGGGACGAGCUGAGCAGGAGAAACUGUUGGCCCAGAGAGACGACCUCGACUCUCAGCUGCAGGAGUCAAGUUUCGCCAACAGGAAGUUGUUGGAGCAGCUAACAGAAGAAGGACAAGAGAAGGAGAAGCUGCUGAGAGAGCUGGAUGAAUCCAAGAAGGUUC